Molecule: transfer RNA, 62 nt
Filed under: Ictidomys tridecemlineatus (thirteen-lined ground squirrel)
Lineage: Eukaryota; Metazoa; Chordata; Mammalia; Rodentia; Sciuridae
Description: Spermophilus tridecemlineatus (thirteen-lined ground squirrel) tRNA
Rfam family: tRNA
About the family: Transfer RNA (tRNA) molecules are approximately 80 nucleotides in length. Their secondary structure includes four short double-helical elements and three loops (D, anti-codon, and T loops).
Source: Rfam by way of RNAcentral
AGGAUUGUGGCUCAAUGGCAGAGCCCUUGCCUCACAAGCAUGAGGCACUGGUUUCGAUCCUC